AAAGGGGUGCGUUUAUGUUCGCAUAAAUUGCUGAGAAUACACCCUUAUAACUUGAUCGGGGUAAUGCCCGCGUAAGGAAUGAA
Molecule: non-coding RNA, 83 nt
Filed under: bovine gut metagenome
Source: RNAcentral